Cannabis sativa is the source of this 1828-nucleotide RNA transcript. RefSeq lists it as uncharacterized. Lineage: Eukaryota; Viridiplantae; Streptophyta; Magnoliopsida; Rosales; Cannabaceae. The record is from RefSeq and is a predicted model, not a curated record. The transcript has 4 exons.
UAAAUAAUAUAAUUUACAUUUUAUUAAAAUUUAUAGUUGUAAUAAUUAUUACAAUAUAAAAUUUUAUCCUUUCUUUUUUAUUAAAAAAAAAUUAUUGAAAAUAUAUGAAGAAAAUGUAACUAGGAAGUGAAAGAUUGUUUUUCUGAAUAUGCAUGAUGCAUAUGCACCAGGUGAACCAUUACGUUCGCAUCGUGUGGUAUAGGAAGGUUCAGUAGUAGUUUGAAUCAAAAGGUUGUGGGUUGUAAAGCUUUUCAUAAUUGAUGACUCAGGAUUUGGAUAAAAACUUGGUGAAUUUUUCAGUGGACAUUUAUUUUAGGAUAUAUGUACAGGUUGCUACUUAUUUAGAAUAAUUAACUGAGAUGACUAAAUAUAUUUAUUUAUUUAUCAAAUAUUAUUUUAAGGCUAUUUGGAGCAGUUUGAAUUGCAAAAGCAUAAAUUUUUUCUUUGGUUUAUUGCAGAAAUUUGACAUUAUUGGCUUGGACUCAUGAACACCUGUACUUGAUUGGGUAGGUAGGCUGAAUCUGAAUAUUUCAUGAAGUUUUCAUUCUUUUAUUAAAAACAGUAUUGUGUGGAGGCGAUGGAGAAUUGGCACGUGGAAGAGGAGAGUGAAAGAUGGGGCAAAGCAGGAGAAAGCCACGUGGCAGUCACCUUCAGCCGAAACCCCCGAUGAAAGGUAGCCCCAUUCCCUGACCCAAACCAAAAAAAGAACACCUUUUCUCUCUCUCUAUAGUCUAUAUGGCUGGAACCAGAAGAAAGAUACAGAAGAAGAAGGAAGAAGAAGAAGAAAGGAAGGACCCAUUGGAGGUCUUGGGUAGAGAUAUAAUGUGUUUGGUAAUGAGUUAUCUGGAUGCACACACCUUAGCACUCUCUCUCCUCGUCUCUCCACCUUGGAACGCCCUCGCUUCCACCAAUUGCCUUUGGGCCCCUAAGUGCGAGGAAUUGUGGCUUCAAAAAGUGCACAUACCUCGCUUGUCUCAAAUCCCGGGACUAACGAAGUUGGCCGCUUACUCCUUAUCUUUCAUGGAUGGCAAGCGAGUAAACUCUUCUCUUCUCCCUAAUCCUCACUCUGCUACUCCUGAUUGAGAGAAAAGAAGAAAAAAAUAACUCUUGACUCAAUAGUUGACCCGAAUUACCAAGUACGAUUUGAGUGACCAUGUUUGGGAGUUGCAUUUCAACAAGGCAGCACCAGAAUACUGGCGUAAUCUCGAUCCUUAUUGGAAAGGCGGUAGACCUCUUCUUCGACGAUACUUCCAUCUAGAUGGGAGCCAAACAGCAGAUCCCGAUGACCCAACAUGGGGAGGACAUGAAAGUUGUUAUUGUACUGUUACUAGUUUCAUUGGUCAGGAACAGAUUAGAGAACACUAUGUAAGAAUAAACAGAUGGCCUAAAAUGAAUGUGUAUAGAAAGCAAGAUUGGAGUUGGAACAUGUCCAAUCACCUCUAUUGCUACUCAAGCAUUCCUGACCCUCAUAAACAAGGUGGAACUGGACCAUUCUUUUCGGUUGUUUAAAUUAAGAUACCCAGAUGAUCUUUUUUCUUUUCCUUGUGCCAAACUUUGCAUGAUCUACCCUGGUUUGAUUAGAAACACCAUUGGUACAGUAGUGAACCGUGGGAAAUGCGGUUUUGGCUCAUAGUUGUAACGAAAAAAGCAAGGGGAAAUCGAAGCAGUUAGAGCAGGACUAAAAUCGCGAGCCAAAGUCAUGAGUAGAAGUAGAAUUUUCUGUUUCUUGUAAUUAUGAUUAUAGAUCAGAAUCAGAUGAUAAAUUUUGUCAGUUUAUAAACUUGAGUUUCAAUGAGUGCUCCACUUUGAUAGUGUGGGGUUUUUCUCA